ACGUAGGGGGCAAGCGUUAUCCGGAUUUACUGGGUGUAAAGGGAGCGUAGACGGCUGCGCAAGUCUGAAGUGAAAGGCAUGGGCUCAACCUGUGGACUGCUUUGGAAACUGUGCAGCUAGAGUGUCGGAGAGGUAAGUGGAAUUCCUAGUGUAGCGGUGAAAUGCGUAGAUAUUAGGAGGAACACCAGUGGCGAAGGCGGCUUACUGGACGAUGACUGACGUUGAGGCUCGAAAGCGUGGGGAGCAAACAG
This 251-nucleotide ribosomal RNA is filed under the name uncultured bacterium. Its description in RNAcentral is "partial 16S ribosomal RNA". It matches the Rfam family "Bacterial small subunit ribosomal RNA", at positions 525 to 775 of the family's 1533-position model. The record is from RNAcentral.